ACGAACGCUGGCGGCGUGCUUAACACAUGCAAGUCGAACGGAAAGGCCCCUUUGGGGGUACUCGAGUGGCGAACGGGUGAGUAACACGUGAGUAACCUGCCCUUGACUUCGGGUUAACUUCAGGAAACUGGGGCUAAUACCGGAUAGGAAUCCUUGCUGCAUGGGGGGGGUUGGAAAGCUUCGGCGGUUUUGGAUGGACUCGCGGCUUAUCAGCUUGUUGGUGGGGUAGUGGCUUACCAAGGCUUUGACGGGUAGCCGGCCUGGGAGGGCGACCGGCCACAUUGGGACUGAGAUACGGCCCAGACUCCUACGGGAGGCAGAAGUGGGGAAUAUUGCACAAUGGGCGGAAGCCUGAUGCAGCAACGCCGCGUGCGGGAGGACGGCCUUCGGGUUGUAAACCGCUUUCAGCAGGGGCGAAGCUUGUGGUGACGGUACCUGCAGAAGAAGCACCGGCUAACUACGUG
Molecule: ribosomal RNA, 464 nt
Filed under: uncultured bacterium
Lineage: Bacteria
Description: partial 16S ribosomal RNA
Rfam family: Bacterial small subunit ribosomal RNA
Source: RNAcentral